Molecule: long non-coding RNA, 868 nt
Organism: Gorilla gorilla gorilla (western lowland gorilla)
Lineage: Eukaryota; Metazoa; Chordata; Mammalia; Primates; Hominidae
Exons: 5
Source: RefSeq, a predicted model, not a curated record
CCAGUAGAACGAACCCGAGUUACCCUGAGUUACUGGCUGCGUAUCAGUGCGGGUCCGCAGCAAAUUCAGUCCUCGCCUCCUCAGAAGAAAUAAGUCGACUGAGGGGCCUGAGACAGGAGAGACCGAGGUUUCACUGUUCCUAGCUAAAAUUCCAGCCUCUGUUGCAUCUCGUUAUGUUAAUAUGACACAGUUCUGGCUAAUAACAUGGAGAUGUAAGUCCCUGAGAGAAGGCUUCCUUUCAGAAAUUUGUCUUCAGAAAUAAAACAGGCAGACCCCUGUGAAGAUGCCUAAACACCCUUUAUUACAAACAGCUAUGAGAAUUUUGAGGCCAAGGAUAUGAUUGCAACAGGUAUUUCCGUGCCCAUUCGAUGCAUGACACAGUUCUGAAUGCAAACCUGGUAGAAUUAAAAGUACCGGCAUCAUUUCCCUCGAGCAGAAAAAAAUGCCGCUGGAAGCCUUACUAAGUCAAUAAAUGGAACACAUUGUGACAAGAAACAUGAAAUGGGAUUUCCUGAAACACAACAACAUAAAGGCAAGCAAACAAAUGAAAAGUUUAUAAGAAACAAAUGCUAUGCAGCUUCUAUAGAAAAUGACAAUUUCAUAUGCAAGGUUAUUAAGAGAUACACAUGCAAAUUUGGGCUAGUUUUUGAUGCUGUGCCUUUAUUUAUACUUAGAAUUUGAUAUAAUUUUUGGUUCAAUUUGUUACAAUACUGUUGUUAAACCCGAAUACUAAUUUCUCCACAUAAGCAAACUCUAAACAUUCAAUAUUAACGUCAUGCAACUGAAGUACCUUUAUUUUAAAUUGUUGACCAUACUCUUUCUGAUAUACAAGUUAGAAGUAAAAAAUAAACAAAUAAAACAAAACCAA